Molecule: transfer RNA, 76 nt
Filed under: Deltaproteobacteria bacterium
Lineage: Bacteria; Pseudomonadati; Myxococcota; Myxococcia
Description: tRNA-His
Rfam family: tRNA
About the family: Transfer RNA (tRNA) molecules are approximately 80 nucleotides in length. Their secondary structure includes four short double-helical elements and three loops (D, anti-codon, and T loops). Further hydrogen bonds mediate the characteristic L-shaped molecular structure. tRNAs have two regions of fundamental functional importance: the anti-codon, which is responsible for specific mRNA codon recognition, and the 3' end, to which the tRNAs corresponding amino acid is attached (by aminoacyl-tRNA synthetases). tRNAs cope with the degeneracy of the genetic code in two manners: having more than one tRNA (with a specific anti-codon) for a particular amino acid; and 'wobble' base-pairing, i.e. permitting non-standard base-pairing at the 3rd anti-codon position.
Source: RNAcentral
GUGACCGUAGCUCAGUUGGUAGAGCAUCGGCUUGUGGUGCCGAUGGUCGCGGGUUCAAACCCCGUCGGUCACCCCA